AUAAUUACAAAACAUCCGAGUAGACCAACCAAUGGCAUUCAACAGCUAAAUGUGGGGUGUACGAGACAACUCCCAAUGAAAUAAUAGAAGGUGGAGAGCAAAUGAUGGACCAAGGUAGAGGGAAUACAACUCCAUUCAAGAAGAGGAUAUUACUCACAAGUAAAGAAUUCCAAAAAAGGUGUGAAAAAAGGCUUUGUUAUCAUUGUAAUGGGAAAUUCAGGCUUGGACAUAGAUGCAAGAAAACUCUCUAGAUCUUGAUUGUCAGUAGCAGAAGGAUGAAAAUGAGUGGACAGACGUCAAGGAAGAGGAAGAGGAUGAGGAUAAGUUAGUACCAAAAGUGCAAUUGUUAUCAGCACAUGUCUCUCUAAAUUUCAUGUUGGGGUAGACACACUUGAGGUCUAUUAAGUUGAAAGGGGAGUUGAAAGGAAGAGAGAUUAUAGUACUAAUAGAUAGUGGGGCCUCCCACAAGAUUUUGUGUGCCAAUUUAGUGG
Molecule: long non-coding RNA, 491 nt
Filed under: Spirodela polyrhiza (greater duckweed)
Lineage: Eukaryota; Viridiplantae; Streptophyta; Magnoliopsida; Alismatales; Araceae
Description: long non-coding RNA (SPOL_LNC002257)
Source: RNAcentral